This 645-nucleotide ribosomal RNA is filed under the name Triticum aestivum (bread wheat). RNAcentral's name for it is "partial small subunit ribosomal RNA". Lineage: Eukaryota; Viridiplantae; Streptophyta; Magnoliopsida; Poales; Poaceae. The record is from RNAcentral.
AUGGUGGGGUUGAUUUUUACAAGUUUAGGACUAAAAUAUCACAUGUUGUGCAAGUUAGGGUACCUGGGGUGCUUUUACCUCGGAAAGAAAAUCAACGGCAACGGACACGUGGUGGUGUGCUCCACAGCCACAGGCUUGAGGUCCCCCGCAGCCUACUGUUCAAUUAAUUUUGUCUGCUCGUGUCGCCCAUCCCGAAAAGGCCGCCGGGAUAGUAUCACCAUCGGAGGAUACGUUCCAAUUUAUUUUCAGCAUCCCUGGGUUUUUUUUCAUUUAAAAUCCAUGCCUCAAAUAAUUUAUUCUCUCUCCCUCGAAAAAAAUAAUAAUUUAUUCUUCCUGCUUCAAAUAAUUUUUUUUAUUACCCACCAUCAUCCUUCCUACUCCCUCCUCGCCCGCGCGCUCCACGCCAUCAUCCUCCCUCCUCCCCCCACCACUUUUCAUACGACACCCACCGCUUCUCAAAAUCAUAAAACAGUUUUAACCCAGCGCGCCUCGGAAUGGCAGAUGUUAAUUGUAAUAUGCAAGACUAUUUCGAUGGGUUUUUUUUUUGCGACGAUUACUCCCUUCGAAAGGGUCUGUCGGGUUCGACCUAGAGGGCAAAAAACACAGAGCCAACACGCAACAAGAGAACAGUCGUCGAGAAUUUGA